RNAcentral lists this ribosomal RNA (486 nucleotides) under uncultured bacterium. RNAcentral's name for it is "partial 16S ribosomal RNA". It matches the Rfam family "Bacterial small subunit ribosomal RNA", at positions 30 to 507 of the family's 1533-position model. The record is from RNAcentral.
AUUGAACGCUGGCGGCAUGCCUUACACAUGCAAGUCGAACGGCAGCACGGGUGCUUGCACCUGGUGGCGAGUGGCGAACGGGUGAGUAAUACAUCGGAACAUGUCCUGUAGUGGGGGAUAGCCCGGCGAAAGCCGGAUUAAUACCGCAUACGAUCUACGGAUGAAAGCGGGGGACCUUCGGGCCUCGCGCUAUAGGGUUGGCCGAUGGCUGAUUAGCUAGUUGGUGGGGUAAAGGCCUACCAAGGCGACGAUCAGUAGCUGGUCUGAGAGGACGACCAGCCACACUGGGACUGAGACACGGCCCAGACUCCUACGGGAGGCAGCAGUGGGGAAUUUUGGACAAUGGGCGAAAGCCUGAUCCAGCAAUGCCGCGUGUGUGAAGAAGACCUUCGGGUUGUAAAGCACUUUUGUCCGGAAAGAAAUCCUUGGCUCUAAUACAGUCGGGGGAUGACGGUACCGGAAGAAUAAGCACCGGCUAACUACGUG